RNAcentral lists this transfer RNA (71 nucleotides) under Deltaproteobacteria bacterium. Its description in RNAcentral is "tRNA-Cys". It matches the Rfam family "tRNA". Rfam says of the family: Transfer RNA (tRNA) molecules are approximately 80 nucleotides in length. Their secondary structure includes four short double-helical elements and three loops (D, anti-codon, and T loops). The record is from RNAcentral. Lineage: Bacteria; Pseudomonadati; Myxococcota; Myxococcia. RNAcentral also lists the same sequence under 2 other names.
GGCGCCGUAGCCAAGUGGUAAGGCAGAGGUCUGCAAAACCUCCAUCAGGGGUUCGAUCCCCCUCGGCGCCU